RNAcentral lists this ribosomal RNA (497 nucleotides) under uncultured bacterium. Its description in RNAcentral is "partial 16S ribosomal RNA". It matches the Rfam family "Bacterial small subunit ribosomal RNA", at positions 28 to 507 of the family's 1533-position model. The record is from RNAcentral.
GAUGAACGCUGGCGGCGUGCCUAAUACAUGCAAGUCGAGCGAACGGACGAGAAGCUUGCUUCUCUGAUGUUAGCGGCGGACGGGUGAGUAACACGUGGAUAACCUACCUAUAAGACUGGGAUAACUUCGGGAAACCGGAGCUAAUACCGGAUAAUAUUUUGAACCGAAUGGUUCAAAAGUGAAAGACGGUAUUGCUGUCACUUAUAGAUGGAUCCGCGCUGCAUUAGCUAGUUGGUAAGGUAACGGCUUACCAAGGAAACGAUGCAUAGCCGACCUGAGAGGGUGAUCGGCCACCCUGGAACUGAGACACGGUCCAGACUCCUACGGGAGGCAGCAGUAGGGAAUCUUCCGCAAUGGGCGAAAGCCUGACGGAGCAACGCCGCGUGAGUGAUGAAGGUCUUCGGAUCGUAAAACUCUGUUAUUAGGGAAGAACAUAUGUGUAAGUAACUGUGCACAUCUUGACGGUACCUAAUCAGAAAGCCACGGCUAACUACGUG